This 253-nucleotide ribosomal RNA is filed under the name uncultured bacterium. Its description in RNAcentral is "partial 16S ribosomal RNA". It matches the Rfam family "Bacterial small subunit ribosomal RNA", at positions 524 to 776 of the family's 1533-position model. The record is from RNAcentral.
UACGUAGGGGGCAAGCGUUGUCCGGAUUUAUUGGGCGUAAAGAGCGUGUAGGCGGCUAGAUAGGACCGUUGUGAAAACUCAAGGCUCAACCUCGAGACGUCGAUGGAAACCAUCUGGCUAGAGUCCGGAAGAGGAGAGUGGAAUUCCUGGUGUAGCGGUGAAAUGCGCAGAUAUCAGGAAGAACACCCGUGGCGAAGGCGGCUCUCUGGGCCAAAACUGACGCUGAGGAGCGAAAGCGUGGGGAGCGAACAGG